RNAcentral lists this transfer RNA (73 nucleotides) under Canis lupus familiaris (dog). It matches the Rfam family "tRNA". Rfam says of the family: Transfer RNA (tRNA) molecules are approximately 80 nucleotides in length. Their secondary structure includes four short double-helical elements and three loops (D, anti-codon, and T loops). Lineage: Eukaryota; Metazoa; Chordata; Mammalia; Carnivora; Canidae. RNAcentral also lists the same sequence under 1 other name. The record is from Rfam by way of RNAcentral.
GCCUGGCUGGCUCAGUUGGUAGAGCAUGUGACAUUUGAUCUCAGGCUUGUGAGUUCCAGUCCCAUGUUGGGUG